Molecule: non-coding RNA, 24 nt
Filed under: Rattus norvegicus (Norway rat)
Lineage: Eukaryota; Metazoa; Chordata; Mammalia; Rodentia; Muridae
Source: RNAcentral
CUCCGGAGUGCUCCCCAACAGUGA